AACGAACGCUGGCGGCAUGCCUAACACAUGCAAGUCGAACGAGACCUUCGGGUCUAGUGGCGCACGGGUGCGUAACGCGUGGGAACCUGCCCUUAGGUUCGGAAGAACGCCCCGGAAGAGGUGCUAAUACCGGAGAAUGUCUUCGGACCAAAGAUUUAUCGCCUUUGGAUGGGCCCGCGUUGGAUUAGCUAGUUGGUAGGGUAAAAGCCUACCAAGGCGACGAUACAUAGCUGGUCUGAGAGGAUGAUCAGCCACACUGGGACUGAGACACGGCCCAGACUCCUACGGGAGGCAGCAGUGGGGAAUAUUGGACAAUGGGCGAAAGCCUGAUCCAGCAAUGCCGCGUGAGUGAUGAAGGCCUUAGGGUUGUAAAGCUCUUUUACCCGGGAUGAUAAUGACAGUACCGGGAGAAUAAGCUCCGGCUAACUCCGUG
This 433-nucleotide ribosomal RNA is filed under the name uncultured bacterium. Its description in RNAcentral is "partial 16S ribosomal RNA". It matches the Rfam family "Bacterial small subunit ribosomal RNA", at positions 29 to 507 of the family's 1533-position model. The record is from RNAcentral.